GAGAAGUAGGGAGGAGUCGGCGGGGGAAUACAGUGGGGGCGAGCGUUGUUAGGAGUUAUUGGGCGUAAAGGGUACGUAGGCGGCGUGUAAAGUCGGAUGUGAAAGCCUACAGCUUAACGGGAGAACUGCAUUCGAAACGCACAAGCUAGAGUAUGAGAGGGGUAAAGGGAAUUCCCGGUGUAAGGGUGAAAUCUGCAGAGAUCGGGAGGAACACCAGUCGCGAAAGCGCUUUACUGGCUCAUUACUGACGCUCAGGGACGAAAGCUAGGGGAGCAAACGGGAUUAGAUACCCUUGUAGUC
This 300-nucleotide ribosomal RNA is filed under the name uncultured Lactobacillus sp. Its description in RNAcentral is "bacterial SSU rRNA". It matches the Rfam family "Bacterial small subunit ribosomal RNA", at positions 495 to 795 of the family's 1533-position model. The record is from RNAcentral. Lineage: Bacteria; Bacillati; Bacillota; Bacilli; Lactobacillales; Lactobacillaceae.